UUAAGCUCUUGAAAUCUCUCUUGAGUCUGAAUCUAAUUAGAGCAUUUGUUGUCCUAAAGCUCCCCAAACUAAUGCUUAAAAGCUUUCACACGCGCUGAAUUCUGUGCCAUGGGUCAAGAUCCACAAUUGUUGCCAGUGACUCACUACACGCCAUAGAGGCUUGUUAGACCUCUAGGAAUUGAUCAAGAAAAAUUAUGAAGACUUAUUUAAGAAAGAAACACAACAAUCUCUAAGCUAUUAUUGGGAAAAAAAGUUUUUUGGACUUGCGUUAUUUUGAUUUCUACUUGGAAUAUGGUCUCCAUAUUUUUACUUAUGGUUACAAGGUUUCAUACUGAUUCCACAAGCAUUGGGGUUACGACGACAUAUAUUCAUUUUCUGAACACUUUUCCUUCAGUAAGCAUAUGCCUUUCAAAGCAACGGAUAAGUGCUGAGUUUAAAACAUCCUUAAAAGAAAAAGUAUUUUCUAAUGAAGCUUCUCCGGAUAACUAUAUAAGAGCUUUAUACGACUACCUCUUCAUAAACCCAAAUAACUUGAAUAUAAAAGAAGCUUAUUGUAAGGGCUAUAAUGCAACUUGUGGUAUAGACAUCUUGGAAUUGAGAAAGAUGAUAGUUAGGGUGUACACGAAGUGUUGUAUCGUUGUAUCGUUGUAAAAGGGUAAGCUUACUUCAACAAUUGUAUGUGAAUGUGACUUGCAAAGCGAACAAGACCCCAGCCGUUGACUACGAAAAUCGUUGUAACCAAAUUGUGUGGCAAAAAAUAUCAUUUGCAACAAUACAACAUUUUCUGAACACUCUAAAGCUUCGCGUGCUCAAAUAUGUGUGUACUCAGAAAAUGCAUUUAAGCUUACGCUUACCUGGAAGAUGAGAAAAAGUGAGUAUAGAGAUAUGCUUCGGGGCGAUCAAAUAAAAAGAAAAGAAGCGACGCGCAAAAUACGAAGCGACAGAGAAAGAAGCAGAUGAAGACAAAAUGAACAGCACAUUCGCAAUACGGCGCGCAAAUAAAGCAAAUCGUGAACGAGAGAGCGAGAUUGGCGAAAAUGAAGAUAUUUUGGCUAAAAAACAAGAAGUGAAGAAUGUUCUAGCAGAAGUGAAUAAAACGAAUGCACAAAAGUACAAUGAAGAAGAAAUAAGCAGUAGUGUUGAUGAAAAUAAAAAGUACGACGAAGAAAUACACACACAUGUGCAUAAUAGUGAUUUGGCGGCGCUAAUAAGAAUAAUGUCAGAGAAGUGUAAUGAUAAACAAAGCAAUAACAAUAUCACAAUUGAUGCAUUUGCAAAAAUUGUUGCUGAUGGUAGCUCGUUUCCAGUCCUGAAUUGGGUGCUCAAUUUUAAUGAAAUUGCAGAGGCAUACGGGUUAACUGAAAAACAAAAAUAUGUAAAAGCGCGAAAUAAAAUGACCGAUUCUGCAAAGUUAUUUUUGGAAACAAUCACAGUGUCAAAUUAUGAAUCGUUGUGUGAAUUUUAAUUAAAGAAUUUGAAAAACAGCUGAGCGGUGCAGAGGUACACAAACUAUUGCGAAAUAGAAAAAAGCUUAUUGCAGAAAAUUUUCAUAAAUAUGUUUUACAAAUGCUUAAAAUAGCGGCU
Drosophila busckii is the source of this 1584-nucleotide long non-coding RNA. RefSeq lists it as uncharacterized. The transcript has 4 exons. The record is from RefSeq and is a predicted model, not a curated record. NCBI's taxonomy places the organism in Eukaryota, Metazoa, Arthropoda, Insecta, Diptera, Drosophilidae.